CAGUCGCCACGGUAAUACGUAGGGCGCAAGCGUUGUCCGGAAUUAUUGGGCGUAAAGAGCUCGUAGGCGGUCUGUCGCGUCUGGUGUGAAAUCCCGAGGCUCAACCUCGGGCUUGCAUCGGGUACGGGCAGACUAGAGUGCGGUAGGGGAGACUGGAAUUCCUGGUGUAGCGGUGGAAUGCGCAGAUAUCAGGAGGAACACCGAUGGCGAAGGCAGGUCUCUGGGCCGCAACUGACGCUGAGGAGCGAAAGCAUGGGGAGCGAACAGGAUUAGAUACCCCUGUAGUCCCUGUCUCUUAUAC
RNAcentral lists this ribosomal RNA (301 nucleotides) under uncultured bacterium. Its description in RNAcentral is "partial 16S ribosomal RNA". It matches the Rfam family "Bacterial small subunit ribosomal RNA", at positions 509 to 807 of the family's 1533-position model. The record is from RNAcentral.